AUUUAAUUAAACAAAAAUGCUCUUUUAAAUUAAUCAAAUUUUAGAAUUCAAUUAAUCCUAAUUUUAUAGUUUCAAUUAAUUUAAACAACAAAACAAAAACAUAUAAAAAACAAAAAUUAAUCGUUUUUCAUCUUCUCCAAUUCUCCCAAUCAUUCGUGCCCCACUCUGAAGAAAAGCAAAACAUAUCAAAAAACAAAAAAUUAAUUGUUCUUUAUCUUCUCUAAUUUCUUCAUUUGUGCCCCCUCUGAAGCAAAGCAGUGAAAGUCCCAAACCAAAACGGCAAAACCCUGUCCUUAGGUUCUUUGCCGCCGGCGUCCCCAGGCUUAGCGCUUGCGCUUCUUCCUCUUCCCUCUGUCCGGAACCCAGGUAGCUCGGCAUGUCGUCUCCAUCCUCGUUGGCUUCUCUGUCCAUGGCCAGGGGAAAAGGCAGAAUUGAAGUCUAAUCGCAAGUUAGAUAAAAAGGUUCUAUUUUAUUCUAAGGUGAAAGAUGUUGUGGCUUGCUUGAGUGUUCAAAAGUCUAUUACUAAGGUAAUAAUCUUAUUUCAAAGGGCAUUGUUCUUAAGAUGGAUUAUGAAAAUACUUCAUUGUGCUUGUAAUAGGUUUAAUGGC
Molecule: long non-coding RNA, 608 nt
Organism: Arachis stenosperma
Lineage: Eukaryota; Viridiplantae; Streptophyta; Magnoliopsida; Fabales; Fabaceae
Exons: 3
Source: RefSeq, a predicted model, not a curated record